This 396-nucleotide ribosomal RNA is filed under the name uncultured Actinomycetes bacterium. RNAcentral describes it as "bacterial SSU rRNA". It matches the Rfam family "Bacterial small subunit ribosomal RNA", at positions 370 to 779 of the family's 1533-position model. Lineage: Bacteria; Bacillati; Actinomycetota; Actinomycetes. The record is from RNAcentral.
AAUGGGCGAAAGCCUGACGCAGCAACGCCGCGUGCGGGAUGAAGGCCUUCGGGUUGUAAACCGCUUUCAGCAGGGAAGAAGCGAAAGUGACGGUACCUGCAGAAGAAGCACCGGCUAACUACGUGCCAGCAGCCGCGGUAAUACGUAGGGUGCAAGCGUUGUCCGGAUUUAUUGGGCGUAAAGAGCUCGUAGGCGGUUAGUCACGUCGGAUGUGGAAACCCAGUGCUUAACACUGGGCCUGCAUUCGAUACGGGCUGACUAGAGUGUUGUAGGGGAGACUGGAACUCCUGGUGUAGCGGUGAAAUGCGCAGAUAUCAGGAAGAACACCGGUGGCGAAGGCGGGUCUCUGGGCAACUACUGACGCUGAGGAGCGAAAGCGUGGGAGCAAACAGGAUU